Molecule: long non-coding RNA, 462 nt
Organism: Homo sapiens (human)
Lineage: Eukaryota; Metazoa; Chordata; Mammalia; Primates; Hominidae
Product: long intergenic non-protein coding RNA 2706
Source: Ensembl
CGAGUGGCCUCUUCUCCUCCUCCACAGACACCUCGGGGAGGGGUCAUCCUUCAGACACGCUGAGCCUAGGCUGCCCGCCCUUCCGCAGCCCCGCCCUGGCCGGCUCCUCGCGGCCCACUAGGCCGGUUCUUCCCCACGUCAGGACCCCGCCACCCCACUCUGCCCCUCCACCCGAGGCUGCCUUAUCCUUUUGCUUUCUCUCUUAAAUCUGCUGCCCGUUACUGCUAUUCUACCCUUUGGUUUGAAUGGGGAGGCACUGGCCUCGGAGCUCCUUGCUGCUGACAUCAGUUGUGCCCUUGUAGGAGACGUCCUGGUCCUGUCUGCCUCAGAGGCUUCCAUCUGCGGAUUUCCUGAGGUCGUCCCCUUACUCCUCUGCUGCAGUCUCUCUCAACAUUUCAACUGUCUGCUCCAGAAAGUUACUCUGUCACUAAGUAAAAUAAAUACAAACAAAAUAAGCAAUAA